GUCAUUCUUGAUCUCUACAGUGCUUUCAUAUCUGCCUUAAACAUACAGCAAAACCAUCCAGGUAAUAUAUGCAUUAGAGUGUAUAUUACACCAUUUAAAUCAUUGAAGCUAUUUCCAUCCUCGUUUGUCCAUAAUUUAUUUAUUUAUUCAAAACUAUGUUUAUCUAUGAAAUUUUGCAAGUUUUUUUGAAAAACAAAAUCGAAAAUAAGUUGUUCAAAAAACCAUUUUAUCAAAAUUUUCAAAAAAAUAAUAAUAUAUCCCCACUCACAAUACUACAAUAUUUUCAAGUGAAAAUGCAUGUCCAAACAUAAUUUUAAAUUCCAAAUAUCAUUUUUCAACUUAACUCCAAAUACUAUUUUUUUUCAAAAAUUAUAAUUUUGAUGUCCAAUCGCCUACUUAAUCUUCCGGUCAUUUUUAGUUUCUGAGCAGUGAGCAGUGAUUACCAGUGACUUAUGUAGCACUAUGUUUAUGAAUUCAAUUGAACCCAUAAAUUUUAGGAUGAGACAUAAUUAUAGGUAAAAAUUUAUUAAUAAUAAAUAUGAACCCAUAACUUUGAAAAUAUAAUGGGUUUAAUAUUAAAAAUAUUAAAUAUUGAACCUAUAAAAUGUAAAUCCUAAAUCUAUCUCUCAUGAUCACAAAUAGUUCACUUAAUUUAAUAUGACAAAAAACAAUUCCACGACUAAUUUACUAUAUAGUGAAAAAAUAGUGAUCACAUAUAAAGAACCCUGAAUUUUGCAACUUGAUUAUGCACCAUUUACCAAUUCUAUAAUGUAUUUGAUUACUUUUAUUUAUUACUCCCUCCGGUCCAAAAUAAGUGAUUUUUUGGCUUUUUAUUUUAUUCAAAAUAAGUGAUUUUUCCAUGUUUUAUGAGUGCAUUAAUUAUUUUUUUCUAUAUUUUCUUUGGAGUAAAUAGUAUUGGAAUAUGUGUUAGGAGUAUUUAUGUGAGAUAGUAAAGGUUAAUAUGGUCAAUUCCAUUGCUAAAUAAUAUUAAAAGAUGGAUUUUUUAAUCUGUAUGAAAAUAUCCAAAAAAUCACUUAUUUUGGACGGAGGGAGUAAUUUGACCCCUAAUCUCUCUUCCCUUUCUUUCCCCUUCCCAUAUGACAUGUAUAUAAUUCAAUUCUAUAUUAUGUUAGGAAAUUCAAACUUUGAGAAUCCACUGAAACCAUGUUGCGUGGGGACGAGCAGUGAAUAUUCAUGCGGGGACAAGAGGGGAACGACGAAGAAAUAUGUCGUAUGUCGAAAUCCACAGCUUUCAUUUUUCUGGGAUAUUAUUCAUCCGUCUCAGCAAGGCUGGUUUGCUGUUUUUUCUGCUCUAAAGCCUUCUCUACGUUCACUGCUGUAAAUCAUAGGCUAGUCUGAUAGAGGAAGGGCCAAGAAUUAAAAUUUAUAGGUUUUGAACUUGUCACUGAAUUUAUAGCUUCUUUAGUUAUUGAGUUUGUAAUUAAAUAUUUUUAUAUAUUUAACAUUUUUUUAUUGCUAUUGAAUUCGUCUGAACUCAAUAAUAAUAUAUAGCUCUGCCCCGAGGUUAGAUAUUCCUAUUAGGACCGAAAAACUUAGGUAUCAUGCGUAAGCUAGUAAAGCAACACUUGAACGACGAUAAAUCAGACAACAAAAGAGAAUUGUCAAAAGAGACACAAAUUAUUUAACGUGGUUCGGUCAAUUGACCUAUGCCCACAUGAGGAUGAACGAUCCACUAUAUAAAAGAGAGUACUAAAUAUCGAGAGAACAAGCUCACGAAGAGGCAAACACAAGUGACAUACUAAUACUUGUCCCGUAAAGUUUUCCCCCUAGACGCAACUCUCAAACCUCAUAUGGCCACACUGUGGUACUACUGAAUGAGAAAGAAGGUGAUAAGUUGCUGCCAACAACCAAUUCUGGAAGCACACCAUUGUUGAAGCCACCAACCCAUUCUAGAAGCCACCAUUGUUGAAUGGAGAAUUCAACCACCAACCACCUUCUUUAAAGCUAUAAAUAGAGCCUUAUGUUUUACACACAAUACAUCAAUCCAGAGAGAUUGAAAUAUAAUCCAGGAAGAGAUUGUGAGAACAAAAUAGAGUUUGGUGAGAGUUUUUUUGUAGAGAGAAAUUCUUGGUGUAAAUUUUCUGUAAUUCUAUUCUUGUGAAAUAGAGUUAUUUUUCCUCCCAAAUAAUCGUCAUAGUGAUCAGAGAAUCACAACAAGUGGUAUCAGAGCCUUCAAUUAUGUGUUUAUCGAGAAAUAUUGGAACAUGAAAAUUUAAACCCAGAUCUGUGGUUUUUUUGAAAAUGUGAUCUCCGAUGUGUUAUCAUUUCAUUAGAUUCCUUGCAUCGAUACGAAUUUAACGCAAUUUUUCGGAGGCAAAACAAAGCUAAAACAAAGAAGUUGUGACAAUUUAAAAUUUUGCUCUAUUUUUAUUUUUUGUCCAAGAAAGAAGAAGGUGAAUAGUAAUCGCCUAGCCAUCCCCACAUCAUCACCCAGUUAGCAUUUAGUCAGCACCCAGUCAUCAUAAAAUUUCUAAAAUUUAUGAAAUAACCCCUGAAGUUACUGCAAUAUAUAAAUCUGCACCAAAGGUUCAGUAUAUUUUUAAUUUAACCCCAAUAGUUUGUUGAAAAUGUUCUGGAGGCCUUAUUUUGACUUAAGAAGAGUCAAUCCUACCUUUUUUCACCAUUCCGGACGCGUUGGUGAGGUCCGUUUGGUGAUAUUCUACUCCAAUAUUUUGACCAAGCCAUUUUAAAGAUAUAAUGGAAGAGUCAUCAUCAUUUGAGCUAUGAUAAAGCUUACUGCCACAAAUUACAUAUUGUGGAGACCUCGGAUGGAAGAUAUCCUCAGUUAUGAAGAUUUGUUUGAUCCCAUAGAAGCAAAGGGUAAGAACCCCGAUUCCACCAAAGAAGUAGAGUGGAAGAAAUUAAACAGAAAAUCAUCGAUCAAAUUCGACAAUGGAUUGACGAUAGCGUUUUUCAUCAUGUUGCACAAGAGACAGACACGUAUGCCCUCUGGGUGAAGUAAGGAGGGAUGUAUCAAGCCAAGACCUCUAGGGAAAAGGCCUUGUUGAUGAUGCGUUUGGUAAAUUUGAAGUUACAUCACGGAACUUCAGUUGCCGAGCAUACCUGUGAGUUUCAGAGCUUGAUAAAUCAAUUAUCGUCUGUUGACAUGCCGCUCGGGGAUGAAAUGCAAACCCUACUACUUCUUUGUUCUCUUCCUAAUAGCUGGGAGACGCUGGUAGUCUCUCUCAGUAAUUCAGCUCCUAGUGGAAAUCUGACCAUAUUUAUGGUUAAAGAUGCCUUAUUUAAUAAAGAAGUCAGAAGAAAGGACAUCGAUCAUGGUGAGUCGCAUGCCCUUAUUGCCGAAAGAGGGAGACAAUAAGAAAGAAGUCAAGAUAAGAGGAGAGGUAGAAGCAAGAGUAGGGGAAAAUGCACAGAUGGUAAGAAGUCAUCAUAUGCAUGCUACCACUGUGGAAUAAAGGGCCAUUUAAAGAAGAACUGCAGAAAAUUGUAGAAGGAGAAGGAGCAGUUGAAGCAGAAGGAUGGAGAAGCAUUAGUCACUACCCACAGAGAGGUAGCCAUUUGUUCCAUCCAAGAAGAGACACACCUUCACAUCUCAAGUCAAGAAGAUAACAAAUGGGUGGUAGAUAGCAUUAGUCACUACUCACGGAGAUGUAGCCAUUUGUUCCAUCCAAGAAGAUACAUGCCUUCACAUCUCAAGUCAAGAAGACAAUGAAUGGGUGGUACAUAUUGCAGCAUCAUACCACGCCACUUCCCAAAAAGAUUUCUUCACAACAUACAAAGUAGGAGACUUUUGAGUAGUGAAGAUGGGGAAUACUUCUUCUGUGAGAUAGUUGGAAUUGGUGAUAUAAAAAUACAAACAAAUAUCGGGAGUACAAUGAUUUGAAGGAUAUCUGUCAUGUGCCAGAUCUUCAUCUAAACCUAAUAUCGGUAUAGCUUUUGACAAAUAGGGCUAUGAAAGUUAUUUCAGAAAAGGCACAUGGAAAUUGCUGAAAUGGGUUAUGAUUCUCGCUCAAGGAUAUAUUUUUUGCAACUUAUAUAAAAAUCAUGUGAAGGUAUAUUCAAACAGCCUCAAUGUUAUAGAAAAAGAGGCGUCUCAAAACUUGUGGCACCAGAAACUCGGUCACAUAAGUGAAAAGGGGAUAUCAAUUCUAACAAAAAAGCAGCUUAUCAGAAUGGACAAGAAUGUUGUUUUAGAACCUUGUAAUCAUUGCUUAUUCAUGAAACAACAUAGAGUCUCUUUUACAUUUUCUUCAACCAAAAAAUCAGAGUUACUCAGUCUGGUACACUCUGAUAUUUGUGGUCCCAUGGAGGAGAAAUCACUUGGUGGUAAUAGGUAUUUUCUGAUUUUAAUUGAUGAUGCUUCUUGAAAAGUAUGGGUGUACUUCUUAAAGACAAAGGACCAGGCUUUUGAUUAUUUCAAGAUAUUUCAUACCAUGGUAGAGCGUGAAACGGGAAAGAAAUUAAAAUGCCUUUGCUAGAUAACGGAGGCGAGUAUACUUCCAAGGAGUUCGAUUCCUAUUGCAAGAGACAAGGAAUUCGACAUGAGAAGACAGUCCCACGCACCCUACAACACAAUAGAGUAGCCGAGAGAAUGAACCGAACAAUUAUUGAAAAAGUCAGAAGUAUGAUCAGUAUGGAAAAGCUGCCUAAGCCAUUAUGGGGAGAAGCUGUUCGUGCCGCCUGCUACCUAAUCAACCGGUCACCAUCAAUCCCGUUGAAUUUUGAGGUUCCAGAGAAAAUAUGGUCUGGUAAGACUCCCUCUAAUUCUCACUUAUGGGUAUUCGGUUGUUUAGCACAUGCACAUGUAUCCAAGGAGCUCAGGAAGAAGCUUGAUGGUAGAACUAUUCCAUGUAUCUUCAUAGGCUAUGGAGAUGAAGAAUUUGGGUAUAGAUUAUGGGAUCCAAUAUAGAAGGCAGUGAUCAAAAGUAGGGACGUUGUAUUUCACGAAAACCAUACAAUUGAAGACAUUGAUAAGCCCGCAAUGUCUCAUGAAAGAAGUUCUAGUGCCCAAAAAGUUGGUCCAGAUCCACUACCAUUGCAGUUUACCACAAAUAACAUGGGGGAGCCUGAAGCAGUACCAGAAGCAGAAUAGGAGGAUGUUUGGUAAGGGGAGGCACAAACCCCUCAGGAAACUAUAGAAAAACAACACUUAUGAGAUUAUAAAACUUCCACAAGGAAGAAGGUACCGAGGAGUAAAUGGGUAUUCAAGCUCAAGAAAGAUGGCAGCGGAAAGGUAGUGAAGUACAAAGCACGGUUAAUAGUCAAAGGAUUCCUACAGAAAAAGGGAAUUGACUUUGAUGAAAUAUAUUCACCGGCUGUAAAUUGGCUUCAACCCGUAUCAUCCUUGGAUUGGUAGCUAGUUUGAAUUUGGAGCUUGAACAAAUGGAUGUCAAGACAGCAUUUCUUCAUGGUGAUCUAAAUGAAGAAAUCUAUAUGGAUCAGCCAAAAGGUUUUGAGGUUUCAGGAAAAGAAAACCCCCUCCAUAAUCUUACAAAAAGUUUAUAUGGCCUAAAGCAAGCACCGAGGCAAUUGUACAAAAAGUUUGACUCAUUUAUGAUAAGUCAAGGAUAUAAAAGGACUGCUGCAGAUCAGUGUGUUUACAUUUAGAGAUUUUCGGAUGGGAAUUUUUUUGUACUUCUACUUUAUGUAGACGACAUGUUGAUCGUCGGACAAGUUGCGAUAAAAAUUAGACAGUUGAAGAAAAAACUCUCUAAGUCCUUUGAAAUGAAAGACUUAGGUCCAACUCAGCAUAUUUUGGGAUUGCAGAUAACUCGAGAUAGGAGAAACAAAAAGUUAUGGCCAUCUCAAGAAAAUUAUAUUGAAGGGGUGAUCAAACGGUUCAAUAUGAGUAAUGUCAAACCGGUAGGUACCCCUUUGGCAAAUCACCACAGGUUGAGCAAGAGUUUGUUCCCAUUUUCCAAGAAAGAGAUUGAGGAGAUGUCUACAAUUCCAUAUUCUUCAGUAACUGGAAGUCUGAUGUAUGCCAUGGUUUGCACGAGACCAGAUAUCGCACAUGCGGUAGGUGUGGUAAGUCAUUUUCUUUCUAACCCUGUAAAGAAACAUUAGGAGGAAGUUAUGUGGAUUCUCAGGUAUCUUAAAGGUAGUUCAAAAUCAAGUAUGUGCUUUGGGGAAGCUGAUCCAAUCUUGGAAGGCUAUACAGAUUCAGAUAUAGCCGGAGAUCCUGAUGGAAGAAAAUCAACCGCAGGAUAUGUUUAUACUUUUGCAGGGGGAGUUGUGUCAUGGCAAUCAAGAUUACAGAAGUGUGCUGCAAGUGUUGUAGCAGAAGCUGGAAAAGAGAUAUUGUGGUUAAAGCGGUUUCUCCAAGAACUAGGGAUGAAUCAAAUAGAAUAUAAGAUGCAUUGUGAUAGUCAAAUCGCAGUUUAUUUAAGAAAAAACUCAAUGUAUCAUUCUCGGACAAAGCAUAUCAACAUUCACUAUCACUGGAUACGUGAGGUGAUGGAUCAACAACUGUUGAAACUAGUGAAGAUCCAUACGAAGGAGAAUCCAGGAGACAUGUUAACAAGGGUAGUCACUCAAGAAAAGUUAGAGCUGUUCAUAGACAUAGUUGGAAUAACUUUCAGAUAGUAGGUGUGUUGGAAUGCAGCUGAAGGGGGAGAAUUGAUAAGUUUAGCUGCUGGCAACAACCAAUUCUAGAAGCCCACCAUUGUUGAAGCCACCAACCCAUUCUAAAAGCUAUCAUUGUUGAAGCCUCCAUUGUUUAAUGGAGAAUUCAACCACCAACCACCUUCUUUAAGGAUAUAAAUAGAGCCUUAUGUUUUACACACAAUACAACAAUUCAGAGAGAUUGAAAUACAAUCCGGGAAGAGAUUGUGAGAACAAAAGAGAGUUUGGUGAGGUUUUUUUUGUAGAGAGAAAUUCUUGGUGUAAAUUCUCUAUAAUUCUACUCUUGUGAAAUAGAGUUGUUUUUCCUCCCAAACAAUUGUCAUAGUGAUUAGAGAAUCACAAUAAAAGGAUCCUCAAUUUAUAGAAGUCCAAAUAUUUUCCAACAAGAAAAAGGACUAACCAAAUAUAGAAGAAUUAUAAUUUCCUUCUACAAAAAGGAAAACAAAACUAUGAAAAAUAUAUUAUCAUUUCCUUCAAAUAAUAAGAAAAUGAAAUAUUGUAAGAAAAUAAGAAAAACCUCGAACAACACCUUUGUUUCUACCUUUUCCUUUUUACUUUCUAUUUUCUUGGAUAAUAAAUUUGAUUGUAUGUUAAGUGUUGGUCAGUACGUUUGUGUGAAAAAGAAAGAAGAAUCGUCGAGUUAUUAGUUAAAGUAUCCUUGAUGAAACUCUAUAAUUUUCCCUUAAUCACUUAAACAAUCAUAAGUUCAUUUUAUUAAUCUAUAUAAAUAUAUAAAGCUGGCCAUAAUUGAGGUGAUUUGGCACCUCUCUAUGACCAGCAUUCCUAUUUUUCUUUUAUCUCAUUGUUUAGACAUUUUCCCUCUCAUCUGGUCCAAAAUUCUCUUUUUGUUGUUAACAGAAAUUAUGUAAAGACCCAAUCCGUCAUCUCAUGAACUACCGCUCUGUUUUCCUCAUUUUAUGAUUCUUCAUGUUUCAUUAUCGUGUAAGAAUUUAUUUAGAUUGAUUUUGGUGGAAAAUGAGACACUUAGUCUCUUUAAGGAAGGCUUAUUUGGAAACGUCAACCGGAAGUUGACAUAUGAGUUAGAAGGUUUGGAUGUGAUUUUUGGUAAUUUGGUUAGCUUCGGGAUGUGAUUUGUGACUUAGGAGUGCGAUCAGAAUUGAUUUUGGAGACUCGGUGUAGAAUUAGGCUUGAAUUGGCGAAGUUAGUAUUUUGGCAAAUUACGGUUGAUGGGUGAGAAUUCGAUCUGAGGGACGGAAUGGAAUUCCGAGAGUUUCUAUAGUUUCUUUAGGUGAAUUUGGAUAUGUGUGCAAAAUUUCAGGUCAUUCAGACAUCGUUUGGUCGGGUUUUGAUCGAAAAUGCAUUUUGGAAGUUCUUGAAGAACUUAGGCUUUGACUUGAUGAAAUUUGAGGAUUUUGAUGUUAACGAUAGUGCUUUGAUGGUUCGAGCAAGUUUGGAUAAUGUAAUAGAACAUAUCUGUGCUUUUGGUAGAGGUCUCAGGGGACUCGGGGUGAGAUCGGGCGUUUAAAAUGAGAGUUUUGAAGUUUGAUUCAUGUUUGUAUUGCUGUCAUCUCGUAUUAAAUCAGCUUCGAAGAAUGGCCGAGAUCGUCUUCCUAAAUAGAAGAGUCUUCGUUUGAAAAAAUAUAGUUUUCAAUUGGCUUGGCUUCCUUAGAUAAUCAUAUCAAGUUUCAAGACGGUCAAGUCAAUCGUUUCAAAGGAAUAAAUAAAGGCUGAAAUCAAGAUGAAUGUCGACCCGGUAUUUCCGCUUCUGCGGAAAUGGACCGUAGAAGCGGUUCCGCAAAAGUGGGUAAAGGAGCACAGAAGCAGGUCUUGGCCUGGGAGGAGUUUCCGCAAAAGCGGAACAUUGUCUGCAAAUGCGAGUCCGCAUGAGCGGGCUUUCAAACGCAGAAGCGAUAAUAGGUAACCCGCACAAACAGAUUUUUGGAAGCAAAAGCGGGACUUUGUAAACUUUAAUGAAAACCGCAUAAGUAGAGUUUUGGCCACAGAAGCGGUCCCGGAUAAUCAAAUACGGAACCCCAGAAGCGAAAAUCGCUGUUGGCAGAAAGGUUUUAUAUCAUUAUUUCAUCAGCGGGCUUAUGUCAUUUUUCCUCCAUUGUUGAGCGAUUUUGGAGCUUUGGGCGAGAAUAUUUGAGGGUUUCAACUGAGAAUAGAAUGGAGGUAAGUUCCUUGGAUUAAUUAUAAGUUUAUGUUAGAAUUAACAUGUAAAUUGGUGAAAUUUCAUCAAAAUUGGGUGAGUUAGGGCUUGAGGAAAUAUAAGAAAAAAUGGAAUUUGGAGGGACAAAUGGACACCGAUUUUGGUAAAUUUGAUAUGUAUAGACUUGUGGCGAGACGAGGAAUCCAGUGAUGCAAAUUUUUUUAUUUUUUGAGAAGUGGGCCUGGGGCUCGGGUUUUGCUAGUUUCGAGAUUUUUGCUAUUUCUCGAUUGUUUUCGAUUGGGUAUUAUUCGCUUUGCUUAUUGUGAUGUAUUCGCUCUGAUUUUGGUUAGAUUCGACGUGUGUGGAGGUCGGUUGAGAGGCAAAGGCGUCGCGGGCUUGAUAUUUCGCCGGUCCGAGGUGAGUAAUACUUGUAAAUGGUAUCCAAAGGGUUUGAAACCCUGGAUUUGCACAUCAUACUACUAUAUUGAGGUGACUUGCACGCCAUAUAUGGGCGUGGGGUAGAGCACCAUUGGGGAUUGAGACUCGGGUCUGUCCCGGUUGAUGUAAAUACUAUGUAUUUGACUAAAAUUACUUGAUAUUAUCAUGAUUUGGGCUGAUUGCCAUGUUUUGGGAUUCGUGACGAUUAUUUGAAUCCUUAAGGGAUUGAUAUCACUAUUUUUUCCAUUACUCUGCAUAUUAUUUGAUCUCGGUCCAAAGUUUUAAAUAUUGUUUGCAAACUCAGCCAUCUUUCUAAUAUUUGAAAAUAAAAAUGAUAUUUUGCUGACGUUUUGAGCUGAGGACUGUUAUUUUAAUAUUGUCCAAGUAGCUUAUGUGUAUUUUUGGACUGUGCAUGGAUCGGGCUGCACACCGCAAUAGUGUUAUAGUGAUUUCUGGACUGUGCAUAGAUCGGGCUACACGCCGCAGCGGUGUGAUAUUGAUAUUGCGCUUGGGCUGUAGGAGCCCCUCCUGAGUCUGAACCCCAACAGUGUGCACAAACCCAAAUGGAUCGGGCUGCACGCCGCAGCGGUCAUGUGCAUCGCAUUGCAUUCACGCAUUGGUUCUUGUUUGUACUAUGUGGCAUGACAUUCAGCAUUCUCAUAUCAUUGGCAUCCAUGCUAUUUCUUGCACUGUUACCAGAUCCCUGGUGUUAUUUAUUAAUGGAGUGUUGUGACCAAGGGGUUGUCUUAUAUGCGGACUUAUACUAACUGAUUAUGUGUUCACUUGCUUGACUGUUGGAAAAAGGAUAUAAAAGAGGUUUUUAACUGAGCCAGAUAUUUUCUAAAGGAUUUUUCCCGGACUUAUUGUUUUCUAAAAGGGUUGUGCUGUCUCAUAUUGCAUGAUGGAGUUCUCUUACGUGUUUUCUUGCCACUCAGUUAUUGUUUACUCUUGUUACUCACUAAGUUAGAAUACUCACUUUACUCCAUGCACCUUGCGUGCAGUAGGUAUUGUUCACCCGGAACUGGAUUAUUAGCGGAUUGAAGGUAUUACUAUUGUAGCUGAGCAAGGUGACCGCCAUUGUUCGCGGCACCAGACUUCAUCUUUUGAGCUCCAUUUUUUAUUUUGUAUAUAUUAUUGGCCCUGUAGUGGUGUUCAGUCUUCCUUAUAUGCUCGUGACUUGUGACACCCCGGUCGGGUUAUGUUGGGUUGUGAUUAAUAAUUUUUAAUGCCAUCAAGUCGUACUUUCUAUUCAUUUAUAUUUAAAAAUGGUUAAAGAGAGGAUUUGGGUUAGUUGGUUGGCCUUGUCUUCACGAGAGGCGCCAUCACGACCGGGUAUGGAAAUUGGAUCGUGACAAAAAACUGUCACGCCCAAGUAUAGAGCCCAAAUAUCUGACGCUAUACACAAAACUUUAUGUAUAGCGUCCAUUAUUUGGGAGGUAUGGAAAUUGGGUCGUGAUAAGUUAGUAUCAUAGCCUAGGCGACUAGGUCUCGCGAGUCAUGAGCAGGUUAGUAUAGUCUCGCGGAUUCGUAUGGAGAUGUCUGUAUUUAUCCUCGAGAGGCUGUAGAACCUUUAGGAAAAAACUUCACUUUCUUGAAAUUCUUAUCGUGCGUACUUGAUUCAGCUUGGAAUAUAACUCUUGAAAUUCCUUUCUCACGUCUGUAUGCGCGCAUGAGCGCUCAAUAUUAUAUUUGCCUUGAUGGCUUGCGAUUCCCUGCUUGAGGGGCGAGAUGUGAUUUCUAUGAGUUGAUGUUGGGCCGAUUUGGAGGACUUGAGGCUGAAUCUUUGCCUAUAGCUUGAGCACCGAGGUGUUAGUUUUACGAGUUGGUGUUGUGUGAUAUGUCUAUAUGACUUGGAAAUGUCGAAGAAGGUCUGCUAGGUAAUAGAUGAAUCAUUAAGUGUUUGAUUUCCACUGUGAUUGGAUGUGUCGCCCCGAGUUAUGGGUGUGUAAAGAAUCUUUUCAGAUCUCCUAGUUGGGAGUGAAGUAAAUAGCAUAUUCCGGUAAGAGUUCCAACUCAGGAAGACUAAAUUGACUGUGUAGCGUAUAUGAUGGUGGAAGGUAUGUCGAAGUGCUAAAUAUAGGCAAAGCAGGUGGGUUAUCUCCUGCGGGUUGUUAUUAGGUGGUAUGAUCCUUAUACAUGUGUUAGAAGGUCUCAUGUGUUAUUGAAGGGUACAUGUUGAAAUUGAGAAUCCAGGGUCACUUAAGAGUGUAGACUCAACUGAUGUGGGGACGAAUGCGAGAUUUGUAGAGGAUUACAGUACUAAGAUGAUAUAUGUUUUCAUAAACUAGUAAAUGAUUUGAGUUUAAUCUCACUAUAGCAUGGUGGUAUCAUUAGAGUAAAGGUAUUAACAUUUGUCGAUAUGCUAUAGCCUGUUUACUAAGAUCAUCAUAGAUUAUUAAUGCAUGCAUUCCAUUAUCGCAAAAAUAUUCCCCCUUGGCACACCCAGAAUAUGGGGCCAAAAAUUGUAAAGGAGUAGGAUCCGAAGCGGUGGCUGCUACAAGAAUAGAAUAUUCCAAAGCAUUCGCUUCUGAAAGAAUUUGAACUAAUUGUGCCACAGUUGAGCGUUUCUGUCCAAUCGCNNNNNNNNNNNNNNNNNNNNNNNNNNNNNNNNNNNNNNNNNNNNNNNNNNNNNNNNNNNNNNNNNNNNNNNNNNNNNNNNNNNNNNNNNNNNNNNNNNNNNNNNNNNNNNNNNNUAGAAUAUUCCAAAGCAGUCGCUUCUGAAAGAAUUUGAACUUGUUGACUGUGUCCUGAUAUAUGGCUUAGAUCCAAGUUGGGGAGGUUGUUGUUGAGUAGCUGAUUACACGGAUAUGUGUUAUGUGAUUCCGUUUCGAGGUAUGCUAGAGGAUCAGUUCUGGUUGCGGAAAUUGAGCCAAGGAUGUCACAAGUCGGACAAAGGUUAUAUGGUGCUUCAUAGAUGUGUGGAAAUAAUAGGAUGUCUUGAGUUAUUGAUGAUAAAGAAUGCUAAGUGUAUAGAGAAGGAAGAUGUUUGUUUGUAUUGGAGUGUGAUCAUAUCAUGCGGUGUCAGAAAUCUAAUAAGGCAUGAGUGGUUCUGUUCAUUGAGUCAGGUAAUUUGUAGUUGAAUAAGAUUGAAUGACUUUCGAGAAUGAUUCUAAUGUGUUCCAGAUUUUACAUGUAACUAUCAGGUGUUUUAAGGCUGUGUAUGUGGUUAGAGACUCUGUUUUCAUUGUAAAAAUGUCAAGACUUGUGGUAUUUUUAUGUUAAUUAUGGGACUAUAUGCAUCAGUAUCAGGAAAAGUAGUUGGAUUCAUAGGAAGUUCUUCCUAGUAGAUUAUUUCGGGACUGUGGUGUUCCUGGGAAUAUUUGAGAGAGUAUUCAGUGGCUUGUGGGACUUAGACAGUGUGGUCUUGUGCUUGGGUCUCGUGUAGUGAGCCUGGAUUGAGGAACUCUAGUGCUUCAGCAAGAGGGAAUAUCAAGUUUAAAAUGAAUCAGAAGGAAACCUGCAUAAAUGAAGUAGCUUGUAGUGGACCGAAUAGGUAUGGUAAGGAUGUGAUUAAUUCUUUGUGUGUGUUUGAGGCAAUGGGUUCGUACAGGUAUUUUGCAGCAAAGCUCUUGAGUUCUAACAGCUUGAUUAGCUUGGUCUAGUUAGAAGGAUUCAGUCCUGAUAGUUUAGCCUGUGCAAAUGAAAUGGGAGAGAAUUCUUGUUAGGUUUCAUCGUGGUUUGGAAAUGUAUAUUUUCUAUGAACGUGCAGAGCAUGGAGUGUGUAAUGAUUUUCUUUUAAAUAGGAUCAAUGAAAGUUAUUGACUAGUUGAGUGCGUAGAUGUCUGUGGUUGGGGAAAAAGAGAUAGAGUUCUCAUAAUUAUCCUAGUGCGGUAUAGUAUAUGCGAUAUGUUGUGGAGGAUUGGGAUUUGUCUGUGUAAGGUUUCAGUUCAGUUCAGAAUGGAAACUCAUUAAAUUCUUAAGCAACACGGACAACAGCAGGUGAUUUAAGAAUCGACCUUCAGAUGAUUAAGGAAAAGGUAUUACUAUUCUAGUGAUUUGAAGGGGGUAUAUGUUCAGUAAAAGGGGAAGGUGAUGUAAACUGAUAAUACUUCGGUGGGAUUGCGGCAUUUUCUUGAUUGGAUCGACUGUUGAUGUUUCAGUUUGUUGAUGGCACAUAAACAUUAGAAUAUUUUUCUUGGAAUGAAUGAGUACUUGAUGUGUGAUAGGUAUUAAUAUUGAGGAAUGUGGGAUCACUAAUAGUGAUUUGUGUGUUAUAUGGAGUUGGAGACUGGGUGUUCUCCGAUUCAGUCUAUGUCGUGGUUGUGGAUGGAUUGUGUUGGUACCGUUCGCGGCUAUUGGGAUUUGGAGGCCCAAGUGGAUCAUUCUUUGCUUGGUAUAUUAGAUUUUGGACAUGGUAUUCGGGUGUGGACUGGUUGCCUCAGUGUUGGGUUAUUCUAGACUAUUGUGCUAUGGGUUAUGUUUGGAAAAUGCCACAGGUUGUGCGGCGGAGUGCAUUGGAUUAUGUUCUAGCAUAGUGGUUGUAUUCCAAAGACCAGCGGACAGUUGGGAAGGAUUGCUUUUCUUUUUUGGCCUUCAUGGCGGAUGUCAGUGCAGAUGCUUCUACCAUUUAUUCAGUUCCGAUAUUAAAAGACUUUUUUCGGAUGCGUUCCUUGUGGUCGGGCAUGUCGCCGGGCGAGAUUGUGGAUUUCAGUAUUUAUUUGGUGCCGAGCACCAUAUCGUACGGCUCCGGCAGGAGUUAUAGUAGUGGAAGGAGCAGCUUCAGGCUUCUUGGUGUUGAGUUCGUUGACAUGCCAAUAUGGCUACGUAUUUAGAUUGAGUUAGAUUGGAUAGUACCGAGUUGUAUUGUUGAGGGUUAGGCUGAUCCGAUCGUACUAAGCUUGUUAGUGAUCUAAGGAGAUCUAUGAGUGGUUUUUCUGUGCUGUUAGAUCUUACGAUUUGUUAGAUAUAGGAACAGGUGGUGCGGUUCUAUUUAGGAUUCAGCAAGGAAGUCGAGCGGGAAGAGUAAUUGAGUGUUGCUCGAUAAAUGGAGUAUUGUCUAUGACCUAUCGGGUUGCGUGUUGUAUGUUAUUUGCUUCACUGUGGGUGUAAUGAAUUACUUUGGCUUCAGACAUCAAUUGUGGUGGCUGGAAAUUUUGAGCAUAGUGACUUGAAGUGCUUCAUAUGUAAUAGUGUUUGGAUAAGAUCGCGCGUUGUGGCGAGGCCACGUGAAGAUAUGAACUUUCGAGGAGGAUUCAGGUAGUCUAUUUCUAUAAUAUGAGAUGAGGUCUCAGCUUUGUGUUUAAAUGGUAUCGAUGAGGUUGAGGUACAACUCUUUCGUUUGAGCCAUUUCUCAUGAUUUGAGUAUGUUGAGACCGUUUCUUAUUGGUGCGUGUAUUAUGCAAGUUAUGGCUUAGGCCUGUGUCGAGAUGUCAUAUCACCAGAGUGGUAUGUUGGAUUCGAGGAGAUCGUUGGUGUCAUUAAUGAAUACGAACGGAUUUGGUUUCAGCUUGUUGGAAGGUUAACAUCGAGGUUUGGCUCGAAAAUUUGUUGUGAUAGUAGUCAAAAGGGAAGCGACUUCAUGAAUGGUUGAUCUGAGAAAUUGUUACAGUUUAUUGCGUGUUUCAUUUAUCGUUGGCAGUAUAUGAAAGUGUUGGAAUAAUACCUUGGUUGAUAAGAAGUUUUUCCACCAAUAUUCGGGUGUUAUGGGCAAAUAUUGUGAAUAGAAGUUAUCGUGCGAUUUCAGACGAUAAGAGGUUUCCACUGAUAUUCGGGUGUUGUGGGAAACAGUUAUGGAUAGAAGUUAUCGUUUCGAGUGUUUGGGUUAUGUAGUGUAUCAUAUGAUUUCACCUGAGGUUGCAAUUAUGGGUUAUUACAGCUGGUUUGAGAUUAUGUGAGGUUCUGAUCUUGUGUAUGAUUUCAGAAAGUGCAAUGCAGUCCUACGGUUUAUGGGUUAGAUGGACUGUGAAAUUUCAGCUAUAUUGUGUUAGCGGACCUAUGUGAGAUAGGGUGAGGGAUCACCCCGAGUAUGCGCUUGGUAAGGUCUUUCAGCUAUUGGGUUGCUUCUGGUACAACUCUGGGUACGCUCGAGGACGAGCAUUUGUUUAAGUUGGGGAGGAUGUAACGACCUGACCCAUAGUCUCAUGAACUACCACUAUGUUUUUCUCAUCUUAUGCUUUUUCAUGUUUCCUUAUCAGUGCUUGGUGUGUUAGAAUUGAUUUAGAUUGGUUUUGGUAGAAAAUGAGAUAUUUAGUUUCUUUAAGAAAGGCUUGUUUGGAAAAGUCAACCGGAAGUUGACUUAUGAGUUAGAAGGUUCGGAUGUGAUUUUCGGUAAUUCGGUUAAAUUCAGGAAGGGAUUUUUGACUUAGGAGUGCAAUCGGAAUUGAUUUUGGAGGCCUGGUGUAGAAUUAGGCUUGAAUUGGCGAAGUUAGUAUUUUGGCUAAUUCCGCUUGAUGGGUGAGAAUUUGAUCUGGGGGUCGGUGUCACACCUCCUUUUUACCUGCGCCCAUUGGGGCGUAUGGGGUGUUUUUCUAAUUAAAGGACAAUCGAAAUGGGAUUAUAUAUUUAGAUUCAGAGUCGCCACUUGGGAGUUUUAUGGUGUCCCAAGUAACCGGUUGAAUCCCAAAUCGAGGAAAAAAUUAACUCUGUAUUACAGUUCGCGAACCAGAAAUCUGGAUAAGGAAUUCUGUUUAUCCGGAAGAAGGCGUUAGGAAUUCUCGAGUUCCGUGGUUCUAGCACGGUCGCUCAAUUGUCAUAUUCGGCUUAAGUUAUCUGAUUUUAACAAUUAUGAACCUAUGUGCAAAUUUUAACCUUCAUCCGCUUUAAUUAAUAUUAUUUUAAAGAGAAUUGCAACGUCCGUAAAACACGUUUCAAACCACGUCAUAUCAAUGCACCCGUGGAUUUUGACAUAUUUUAACAUCAUUGAGAUUUGAAUUUGGGUCACAUAAAUGUGCACCCGAGUUUAGGGAGGUAAUGUUAUUAAAAUAUGCGCCUAAAGAGACUAACACGUUAUUAUUUUGGAAGAGGGCGUGAUAUUCGCUAAACGGCCUGUCCCGAAAUCUAAACAAUUAAUAUAUACAUUUAACGAGGGCCCUGCAAUUUGUGCAUUUGAUUUGGCGAGGCGAGGCUCGUUUUAUUGUUUAAAGGGCGAUCCUAAAGUAAACUAUUAUUGUCUAGUUAAUUUGUCUCUAAGAUAAAGAAAACAAAAAUCCUAACUUGUUAAUUAUUGAAUUAGAGUGAACACAGAGAGAGAAUUGCACUCGGCCCGUAUCAAAAGAGUUGUUCUCCACAGGCCAUGGCCCAGGUCCAAACGAACAUUGUAUCUUGGAGACAUGUGCCGCCUGUUUAAUGUAUUCAGGCCCAACGGCCUGUGAACGGGGUAGAGUUUGAAUGCGGCAUAGAUUAAAUUCUACCAAAAUGCCUUUCCAAAUUACCUCAAGCUGAUUGUUUUGGUUCUAGUUUUUAUAUCCAUGCUUAAUUAUGAUUAAGUAUCUUACUAUUUUAAUCCAGAGAAUAUUAAUCAAGCUAAAGCAUUACUAGCUAAACGAAAAUAUCACCUUUUUUGAAGCGAUAACUUAACAGAUGUGAAGAUUUGUUACCUUAUUCUACCCCAACACCAAUGCUCACUCAAAGGUUUGCUAAACUUAAUCAAAACUUUGAAAGUCUAUUAACAUUAACAUUCAGAGGAAUGUUAACAAGUCAUGUUCGAACCAACUCAUGCCUACUGGUAAAAUGCAGGAGCACAUUGAUAAACUGAUGAUUAAUCAACUCAAAUCCUAAUACAACUUUAGCUACUAACUACGGGUUGAGUUACUUCUACUAAAAUACAAUAACUCUUACAAAUUUUGAAGUAGAUCGAAACAAACCAACAGUCUACAAAUAAAGCACAAUAAUCCAACAUAGUCCAUAGUUUAUAAAGAAAUAGUCCAUGGUUAUUAAUCAUACAAGUCAACACUUGGCUACUUUAAACAACUACAUUUUUUUAUCUAAUUACUACAAGUAUAUAACUAUCCAACAGGUAUAUUCCAGGAUCCACAAUCGAGUAGUUUUAUUCCAGUUUUUUCAAGCUCGGAACUACAGUAGAGAUUCAAAAUGUGUACUUGAAAGUUGAAUCACAACAAGAAGAAAGAAGAAGAUCAGCAGCAGCAGAUAACACAGUAACAACAGCAGUACACCAGAAAAUUCCAACAGCAAACAACCAAUCAAGUUCAACACCCAGAACAGUUUGAAAACCAAAUGAAGCCCAUAGAAGAGCCCCAACAGAAUACCAAAACUCGAAAAUGAACCCAAGGGACUGAAGUUAAACAAUCAACGGAUCCCCAACUGUCUCAAACCAAACAGACUCGGAACAAAAAGAACUGAGGAACUGAAUUCAAACCCAAAACUUGAAAAACAAUACUCUCAAAAAGGCUCCUGAAAGCUGAUUCCCAAAACCUCUCUCUAAAACUGACCCUUGAAGUUUGUUCAGCUCUCUUGUAUUAUUUUUGGACUCUCAAUAUGUUCUCCUCAAUUUCAAUACUCUUUUCCUAGUUCUAUGGGUUUUUUGACUCUCAACUCUUACUGCUAGUUCAAGUUCUCUUAAUGUCUCUACUGACCUCUAUAUUUAAACCCAACCUUUUAAAACCCUUUUCAGCCCUUCUUUUUCUUUUACAGUUGUAAAAGAAAACCUUUUGUAUUACUACACCCAUGCUUUUUUUACUUUCCAGCUUUCUAUAUUCUUCUACUAUGUGAACCCUUUUAGCUUUUUAUUUAUUACUUACUAUUUUUUAUUGCCAAUUCGUUAAAAAGCAACAGAUUAUUACAGUCAUAACCCAUUAGAGCCCUACUUAUUACUUAGUGGCCCCCUACUAAUAUGUCUUGUUCCCCAAUUUCAUUAAACAAAUACAAUAGUUUAAUUGUCCAUUAGUAACUUACUGACAGCCAUCAAAUUAAAGCAUUUUUAAAGUUUUGGCAGCCUAAAUUACCCCUGCGAUUCACUGAAACUACUGACCUAUCCAAAUCUUCCUUCACUCUGUACCAAAACCACAACUACAACCAAUUCCAUUUAUCAAUCAAUUAGUAAUGCAAAGUACAAGAUCAAAUCAAAUAACAUUAACAAUGAUGGCUAACAGCUCAGUGCAACACAUAUUGAGCUAACUAUAUUGGGGAACCAAUCAUAUUUAGCUUAAAACAAGUGAAGUGAAACCAAUUAGAUGAACAUACACUUAGUUGGAUUGGAAAACAACAGAAGAAACAUCCAGAAGAGCUUUAAGGGGAUCGACAGAUUCAUGAUAAAAAAUGAUUAAUCAAUUCAGUUCAAAAAUGAACUGAAUAUACCAACAGGCUUAGUUCUAUGUUCAACUGUGACAACAUGCUUAUUUCAAUACAAGCAUUAGAACAGAAAAGAAACAGGUGGGGAAACCUACUAGAAUGAACCAAAAUUAAACUAUUAUCACGUUACUCUAACAUUCAAACAUAAUAGACUAAUCGACGACACUUAUUCAAUCGAUUAAAAAUGUUAUAACCUAUAACUAUCAAUCAGAAAAUUUGGACGAAGAAAAAGGUCCAGAAGAGAAUAAGAAGAUAAUUGACAAAAAUAACGGAAAAGCAAUCGAACAAAAUACAAUGAGACCUAAAAAGAUAAACUACAAAAAUAGAAUAGACAAAGAGAGGAAAUACCUCAAAUUGAGAAACCAAACGGACUUUGUCCGCAUCAAAGCUUCUUCUCAAACUCUUUUGAGCACAAAAUGGACCUUAAUCUAGUGUUCUCGAUUGAGAACACUCGACUAAGGUCAGUUGUUAACCUCAAAUUUCCCCUAAUCUCGGAUAGGUUUAGUUUUUUGUUCUGUUAGAGUUCUUUGGUUUGAUUUGGGAUUCGAAUAGUUCCAACGAGAUUCAAACAAAACUAAUGGAGAUUAGGAGGUUGAUUGGUUUGAGUUUGGUAGUGAAUGGGUGAACUAGGGUUAGGGUCUGAUCUUUCAAACUAUUAUUGGAGAAUAUUAGUGAUGAUUCGAGGAAAAAAGGGUAGGGAUUUGGAACGAGGAAGGAAUGGAGGUUCAGUGGUGUGAUUUUGGUGGACGGCGGCAUUGUUGCCGCCGGGUUUCAGGCGAAGGAUUUUGAUGGCGGCUAGGGUUUCAAGGGGUUGUCUCUGAGAAUUCUGAGAGAGACGAUAAGGCAGGGGGGGUUGUGUUUGGGGGGACUGGGUAGGAGUUUAGGAAUAUAUACUAGGUGGGAUUUUUAAUCCUGGCCAUUAGAUCUACUAAGAUCAACGGCUAGGAUAUGGGAGGUG
RNAcentral lists this long non-coding RNA (19361 nucleotides) under Nicotiana benthamiana. RNAcentral describes it as "long non-coding RNA (NBEN_LNC011567)". The record is from RNAcentral. Lineage: Eukaryota; Viridiplantae; Streptophyta; Magnoliopsida; Solanales; Solanaceae.